AUUUCGUCACUAUGCCCCGGGUUUCAUCUUACGAGAUCACAAGCUAAGAUUGCGGGAACACUUAUGUCGCGAAUGGCGAUUGUAACACUACCUCCACAUACUUCAAGUCUUCUGCAACAUGUUCCUGUCACAGAGGCUACCAUUUCACAGGAAUUAAUACCAGCAUUGAAUGUCUGGCUAACGGUUGGAGAUUGGUUCAAGGCAAUUGUGCGAUAAAUGAUUGUGGACGGCCUCCGAUUGGCAAUCUAUCAACAAUCCAUGCCCCACAGACAACAUUUAACGCCACGGCGGUAUAUGCGUGUCUUCCUGGAUACAGCACUACAAACAAUACUGAGCUCACGUUUACUGCUGACGGCAAGUGGAAUGGAACAGCGCCGAUAUGUUCAGAUAUCGACGACUGCCUCAACAGGCCAAAGCCAUGUGACUUCAACGCCAAGUGCACCAACUCUGACGGCAGCUUCAAGUGUGAAUGCCAGACCGGAUACAGAGACCUGGAUGUGGUCGGGGG
This is a long non-coding RNA of Dreissena polymorpha, 508 nucleotides long. RefSeq lists it as uncharacterized. The transcript has 4 exons. NCBI's taxonomy places the organism in Eukaryota, Metazoa, Mollusca, Bivalvia, Myida, Dreissenidae. The record is from RefSeq and is a predicted model, not a curated record.